AAAACAGCACCCACUUAUUUUAUGCACUAAAUGGUCUGUUGGCCUAAGAAGCCUACCUAAUUUGUCACCGAUUCUGUUCCAAGGAUGAACAUCCUGUUUUGGUGUGUGAUGCUAAAUCAUAAAUGAUUUAAAUUGGCCAUUGUUGGUGUUAAGAUGUUUCUCAUACGCACUCCUUUGUCUGUUUAUUGUCUAUAGAAUAUUUACUAUUUUAGUCUGUAAGGUAAACAGGGAGUCCUUAUCUAGGCUCUCACAGCUCAGGCUAGUAUAGCCUCUUGUCUAAACAGGAAACAAGUUUAGGACAGCCUUUGCUCUGUGUGUAUAUACACUUUCUGCUACCUGCAGUAAACAGAAGAGGAAGAACAUGCCUUCUGUGUGCUGUGUAUUUCUUCUUCCCUGAUAUCAGAAAGGCACCACGGGCAUAGCAGAUCAAAUGGAAAACCUUUUCAAGAAUUAAGUUGCGUUUGGGCAUGAUAAAAACCUAACACACGGCCACAGUGCAUCUUCUUCGUGUUUACAGUGGUUCUCAUAAACGCGUUACUGUCAAAAGUAACUGCAUUACAGUAACGCGUUAUUGCCCAACACUGAUACUGUGUGUAUGUAUGUAUAUAAAGUGUCAUUUUACAUACAUACUCAUUGUAAGAAUGUAAACACAGCCUAAUUAAAAAGUCUAAGCUCUUCUCACUGAGAGCAGGUUCAGGAUAAUUAUCGUUUCUUGAAUCCUGUGUGCUUUAUAAAACAGCAUAGUGUUGCAUGAUUUGUGUAUUAAAUAGUAAUGAAUAAUGAAUGUGUUUUUAAUAAAAUGCUUGUAAUAAUAUAUGGUUAAUAAAAUACACUGUGAGGCAAAAA
Silurus meridionalis is the source of this 846-nucleotide long non-coding RNA. RefSeq lists it as uncharacterized. The record is from RefSeq and is a predicted model, not a curated record. The transcript is spliced from 2 exons. NCBI's taxonomy places the organism in Eukaryota, Metazoa, Chordata, Actinopteri, Siluriformes, Siluridae.